GAUGAACGCUGGCGGCGUGCCUAAUACAUGCAAGUCGAACGCAUUGAGAGAAGUGCUUGCACUUUUCAAUUUGAGUGGCGAACGGGUGAGUAACACGUGGGCAACCUACCUGAUAGCGGGGGAUAACGAGUGGAAACAUUCGCUAAUACCGCAUAACAGUAGAGAAGGCAUCUUCUUUAUUUAAAAGGCGCUUUCAAGCGUCACUAUCAGAUGGGCCCGCGGUGCAUUAGUUAGAUGGUGGGGUGAAGGCCUACCAAGACGAUGAUGCAUAGCCGAGUUGGGAGACGGAUCGACCACAUUGGGACUGAGACACGGCCCAAACUCCGACGGGAGGCUGCAGUAGGGAGUCUUCCACAAUGGAGGAAAGUCUGAUGGAGCAACGCCGCGUGUUUGAUGAAGGCUUUCGGGUCGUAAAGCACUGUUGUAUGGGAAGAAAUGCUAGGCUAGGAAAUGAGCUUAGUUUGACGGUACCAUACCAGAAAGGGACGGCUAAAUACGUGCCAGCCGCCGCCGUAA
Molecule: ribosomal RNA, 516 nt
Filed under: uncultured bacterium
Lineage: Bacteria
Description: partial 16S ribosomal RNA
Rfam family: Bacterial small subunit ribosomal RNA
Source: RNAcentral